UGGUGGAGUGAUUUGUCUGCUUAAUUGCGAUAACGAACGAGACCUUAACCUGCUAAAUAGCCAGGCGAGCUUUGGCUCGUGGCCGGCUUCUUAGAGGGACUAUCGGCUCAAGCCGAUGGAAGUUUGAGGCAAUAACA
Molecule: ribosomal RNA, 137 nt
Filed under: uncultured eukaryote
Lineage: Eukaryota
Description: partial 18S ribosomal RNA
Rfam family: Eukaryotic small subunit ribosomal RNA
Source: RNAcentral